This 443-nucleotide ribosomal RNA is filed under the name uncultured bacterium. Its description in RNAcentral is "partial 16S ribosomal RNA". It matches the Rfam family "Bacterial small subunit ribosomal RNA", at positions 338 to 795 of the family's 1533-position model. The record is from RNAcentral.
CCUACGGGUGGCAGCAGUGGGGAAUAUUGGGCAAUGGAGGCAACUCUGACCCAGCAACGCCGCGUGAGUGAUGAAGGUCUUCGGAUUGUAAAACUCUUUAAGUGGGGACGAAGAAAUUGCCUGUACCCACAGAAUAAGCCUCGGCUAACUACGUGCCAGCAGCCGCGGUAAUACGUAGGAGGCAAGCGUUAUCCGGAAUGACUGGGCGUAAAGGGUGCGUAGGUGGUUCGGCAAGUUAGUAGCGUAAUUCCGGGGCUCAACCCUGGAACUACUACUAAAACUGUUGGGCUUGAGUGCAGGGAGGGCAUAGGGAAUUCCUAGUGUAGCGGUGGAAUGCUUAGAUAUUAGGAAGAACCCCAGUGGCGAAGGCGAUAUGCCGGAGUGUAACUGACACUGAGGCACGAAAGCGUGGGUAGCAAACAGGAUUAGAUACCCUUGUAGUC